Molecule: ribosomal RNA, 254 nt
Filed under: uncultured bacterium
Lineage: Bacteria
Description: partial 16S ribosomal RNA
Rfam family: Bacterial small subunit ribosomal RNA
Source: RNAcentral
UACAGAGGUCCCAAGCGUUGUUCGGAUUCACUGGGCGUAAAGGGUGCGUAGGCGGUCGCGCAAGUCGGAUGUGAAAUCUCAGGGCUCAACCCUGAAACUGCAUUCGAUACUGCGUGGCUAGAGUGCUGGAGAGGAGACUGGAAUUUACGGUGUAGCGGUGGAAUGCGCAGAUAUCAGGAGGAACACCGAUGGCGAAGGCAGGUCGACUGGGCCGCAACUGACGCUGAGGAGCGAAAGCAUGGGGAGCGAACAGG